UACGUAGGUGGCAAGCGUUGUCCGGAUUUAUUGGGCGUAAAGCGAGCGCAGGCGGUUUCUUAAGUCUGAUGUGAAAGCCCCCGGCUCAACCGGGGAGGGUCAUUGGAAACUGUCUGACUAGAGUCUUGUAGAGGGGGGUAGAAUUCCAGGUGUAGCGGUGAAAUGCGUAGAGAUUAGGAAGAACACCAGUGGCGAAGGCGACUUUCUGGACUGUAACUGACGCUGAGGCUCGAAAGCGUGGGGAGCAAAC
RNAcentral lists this ribosomal RNA (250 nucleotides) under uncultured bacterium. Its description in RNAcentral is "partial 16S ribosomal RNA". It matches the Rfam family "Bacterial small subunit ribosomal RNA", at positions 524 to 773 of the family's 1533-position model. The record is from RNAcentral.